RNAcentral lists this long non-coding RNA (1247 nucleotides) under Helianthus annuus (common sunflower). RNAcentral's name for it is "hypothetical non coding rna". The record is from RNAcentral. Lineage: Eukaryota; Viridiplantae; Streptophyta; Magnoliopsida; Asterales; Asteraceae.
AUGUCGAUUUGUUGUAUGAGUUUUUUCCGUAAGCUUGAAUUGUCCUUGAGCCUGUGAGUUUCAGUUUCGGUAUAAUUUCAUUUUUUCUGCAAAUUCGCUUCGAUUAUACAGCGAUAGAUCAUUAGAGAACCAAAAAUCAAUUUGGAUCGUUUGUAUUUUGCAUUAGGUUUUAUUAAAGCCGUUGCUGAAUCAUUGAUGUAUAAUAACAUAGUAAACUGAUCUUAUAGAGUCGUAGGUAACUAGGUAUUGAUUCUUUGGGGAAAAUAUCUUCGAGAAUAUGAUGUAUUUAAUAAUGUUGGUAGUGAUUAUAAUACUAGGUAUGUCAAGCGUGCUGGCUCAAACUUUUUAGGGUCAUAAAGCUGAUAAUCUGGUGCCUUUUUUGUAAUAAAAUAUAGUUUUUUGCUUUUCCAAGCUGAUCUUGUCAAAACUUGCAAAAUUAAAUGGAUUUAAACCCAAAACCGCCUAUUCACAACACUAAGAUAAAUAGAAAUUCCAACAGAAAAUUUGAGAGAUUGAGAGCUUGAGAUCCGAGAGGAAGAAUCGAAUGCGAAUCAAACGUAGUCAAGCAUAAAAAAUAGAGGCCCCAAGGUUCUGCUUAUAUUUCUGUACGUUCGAGCUGCCAGAUGAUUAACGUGGAAUGUGAAUUGGUCUAUGUGAAUUUUUGGGCAAUAUUCAAUUGAAGUGUCAUCAUUGGAAUGUUUUGUAUAUGGUACUGAAAGCGUAUUUCUUCUGAAUUCCAAUUUUGUUUGGAUAACAUUUUAAAAGAAUCGAUAAUGAUUAGUCUUGCUGUGUCUCAAAUUAUAUAUUCUUUUAAGGGUUCAAAUGUGUACCCCUUAAUAGCUGGAUAGAAUAUAAUACAAUAUCUUUAUGUUAUGUGCUUUGACAAGUCAACAUUAUAUUUUUUGAUAGAACUGCUUUAUUAAUAUCAUGAUUUAAGAAAUUGCCGAUUCGAGUCGGGUGUCUCACUAGAAGCAACAUCUUUAUUUCUACGGGGUAGAGGUAAGACUGUCUAUAUCUUACCCUACUCAGGCCUCGACCUUUGUUUUGCUAUUGGUAGGAUUUACUGAGUAUGAUGAUGACGACGACGACGACGAUGAUGACGAGUAGGUUAAAUAGUUGGUUGUUAAUUUUGGUUACCACAUGUAAACAAUAAACAAUUAUACAUAUAAGUUUGUAAACAAAAUCACCAAAAGUUUGACAACAUAUGCUAAAGCCCCCGCCGCAUCGCGGCGGGGCACAUAUCUAGU